GACGAACGCUGGCGGCGUGCCUAAUACAUGCAAGUCGAACGCUGAAGGAGGAGCUUGCUCUUCUGGAUGAGUUGCGAACGGGUGAGUAACGCGUAGGUAACCUGCCUGGUAGCGGGGGAUAACUAUUGGAAACGAUAGCUAAUACCGCAUAAGAGUAGAUGUUGCAUGACAUUUACUUAAAAGGUGCAAUUGCAUCACUACCAGAUGGACCUGCGUUGUAUUAGCUAGUUGGUGGGGUAACGGCUUACCAAGGCGACGAUACAUAGCCGACCUGAGAGGGUGAUCGGCCACACUGGGACUGAGACACGGCCCAGACUCCUACGGGAGGCAGCAGUAGGGAAUCUUCGGCAAUGGACGGAAGUCUGACCGAGCAACGCCGCGGGAGUGAAGAAGGUUUUCGGAUCGUAAAGCUCUGUUGUAAGAGAAGAACGAGUGUGAGAGUGGAAAGUUCACACUGUGACGGUAUCUUACCAGAAAGGGACGGCUAACUACGUG
RNAcentral lists this ribosomal RNA (495 nucleotides) under uncultured bacterium. RNAcentral describes it as "partial 16S ribosomal RNA". It matches the Rfam family "Bacterial small subunit ribosomal RNA", at positions 28 to 507 of the family's 1533-position model. The record is from RNAcentral.